CGCGUAGGUGGCGGGGUAAGCGUGUGGUGAAAGUCCGGGGCUCAACCCCGGAUCGGCCAUGCGAACUGCCCGGCUGGAGCACGGUAGAGGCACAUGGAAUUCCGGGUGUAGCGGUGGAAUGCGUAGAGAUCCGGAAGAACACCGGUGGCGAAGGCGGUGUGCUGGGCCGUUGCUGACACUGAGGCGCGACAGCGUGGGGAGCAAACAGGAUUAGAUACCCUGGUAGUCCACGCCGUAAACGAUGGGCACUAGGUCCUUGGGGGAGCGACCCCGUGAGGGCCGGCGCUAACGCAUUAAGUGCCCCGCCUGGGGAGUACGGCCGCAAGGCUGAA
Molecule: ribosomal RNA, 332 nt
Filed under: uncultured bacterium
Lineage: Bacteria
Description: bacterial SSU rRNA
Rfam family: Bacterial small subunit ribosomal RNA
Source: RNAcentral